This 253-nucleotide ribosomal RNA is filed under the name uncultured bacterium. RNAcentral's name for it is "partial 16S ribosomal RNA". It matches the Rfam family "Bacterial small subunit ribosomal RNA", at positions 524 to 776 of the family's 1533-position model. The record is from RNAcentral.
UACGAAGGGGGCUAGCGUUGUUCGGAAUUAUUGGGCGUAAAGGGCGCGUAGGCGGCCUUGCAAGUCAAAGGUGAAAUCCCUCGGCUCAACUGAGGAACUGCCUUUGAAACUGCAUGGCUUGAGGCCGGGAGGGGGUAGCGGAAUUCCCAGUGUAGCGGUGAAAUGCGUAGAUAUUGGGAGGAACACCAGUGGCGAAGGCGGCUACCUGGACCGGUUCUGACGCUGAUGCGCGAAAGCGUGGGGAGCAAACAGG